GGGAGAGACCUGGGGAUGCUCUGCUCAGCUAUGAGGACACAGAAGGCAGGACACAGUGACCAUCCCCACCAUGGCCUGGUCCCCUCUCCUCCUCACCCUGCUGGCUCACUGCACAGGGUCCUGGGCCCAGUCUGUGCUGACUCAGCCGUCCUCCAUGUCUGGAUCCCCGGGUCAGACGGUCACCAUCUCCUGCACUGGAAGCAGCAGCAACAUCGGGCGUGGUUAUAGUAUUCAGUUGUUCCAACAGCUCCCAGGAACAGCCCCCAAACUCCUCAUCUGUGGUAACAGCAAUCGAGCCUCGGGGGUCCCAGACCGCUUCUCUGGCUCCAAGUCUGGCAGCUCAGCCUCCCUGACCAUCACUGGGCUCCAGGCUGAGGACGAGGCUGACUAUUACUGUGGAUGUUAUGACAGCAGCCUCAGUGGUGGCUCAGUGCUCCAGGACGAGGGGGAAAAUGUGUCCUGA
Molecule: non-coding RNA, 463 nt
Organism: Vicugna pacos (alpaca)
Lineage: Eukaryota; Metazoa; Chordata; Mammalia; Artiodactyla; Camelidae
Source: the annotation of a RefSeq genome assembly